This 253-nucleotide unclassified non-coding RNA is filed under the name uncultured Euzebyales bacterium. RNAcentral describes it as "contains 16S-23S intergenic spacer region". It matches the Rfam family "Bacterial small subunit ribosomal RNA", at positions 524 to 776 of the family's 1533-position model. Lineage: Bacteria; Bacillati; Actinomycetota; Nitriliruptoria; Euzebyales. The record is from RNAcentral.
UAAGUAGGGGGUGAGCGUAGUCCGGAAUUAUUGGGCGUAAAGAGCUCGUAGGCGGUACAUUAAGUCGGAUGUGAAAUCUCAGGGAUCAACCCUGAAACCGCACCCGAUACUGGUGGACUUGAGGUAGGUAGGGGAGAGUGGAAUUCCUGGUGUAGCGGUGAAAUGCGCAGAUAUCAGGAGGAACACCAGUGGCGAAGGCGGCUCUCUGGGCCUUACCUGACGCUGAGGAGCGAAAGCGUGGGGAGCGAACAGG